This 253-nucleotide ribosomal RNA is filed under the name uncultured bacterium. Its description in RNAcentral is "partial 16S ribosomal RNA". It matches the Rfam family "Bacterial small subunit ribosomal RNA", at positions 524 to 776 of the family's 1533-position model. The record is from RNAcentral.
UACGGGGGAUGCAAGCGUUAUCCGGAAUCACUGGGCGUAAAGCGUGUGUAGGUGGUGAUGCAAGUCACUGGUGCAAAACUCUGGCUCAACCGGAGGAAAGCCAGUGAAACUGCAUGACUAGAGUGUGGGAGAGGUAUGAGGAAUUCCCUGAGUAGCGGUGAAAUGCGUAGAUACAGGGAAGAACACCGGAGGCGAAAGCGUUGUGCUGGAACACAACUGACACUGAGACACGAAAGCUAGGGGAGCGAAUUUG